GAUCUAUCAGGUACAGAUGCUUCAGUGGCUGCGCAAUGGCAGUUAAGAGAAAGAAAACAGGUUCUAGAGAGACCCUGGCAGGUAGGAUUUGGAAGUCAUCUUUGAACUGACCUCACUUGCUCCCCUCAUUUUGCUGAUGAGGAAACCGAGGCUGAGUGAAUGUCAGCAGGGUUACCAGGAAGAUUAUCCCUGAGCUAACAUCUGCUGCCAAUCCUCCUCUUUUUGCUGAGGAAGACUGGCCGUGAGCUAACAUCUGUGCCCAUCUUCAUCUACUUUAUAUGUGGGACACCUACCACAGCAUGGCUUGCCGUCAGUGCCAUGUGUGCAUCCGAGAUCCAAACUGGUGAACCCUACGCUGCUGAAGUGGAACAUGCACACUUAACCGCUGCACCACAGUACUGGCCUCUGGAGUAUCUUUUUCCAUCCCUUCACUUUCAGUUUGUGACUGUCUUUAGGUCUGAAUUAUGUCUCUUGUAAGUGGGAUGUCUAUGGGUCUUGUAUUUUAUCUAAUCAGCCACCCUAUGUCUUUUGAUUGGAGCAUUUACACUCCAUUGACAUUUAAAGUAGCUACUGAUAAGUAUUUUGUUACUUUUUUUCUGGAUGUUUUAGUAGUUCUCUGUUCCUUUCUUCUUUUCUUGCUCUCUUCCCUUGAGGUUUGAUGGCUGUUUUUUUAAAUUAUUAUUGGUUUAUUUAUUCAUUUGCAAAGCUCUGUCAGUUGCAUAUACUCAAUCUAUAGGGAAAAGGUGAAGUUCCGUAUUACAUGGAAGUAAAUUUAUUCUCAAUAAUAUGUGCAACUUUGAAAACCUGGUUGAUAUGAUUCCAUUAAUCAAAACCAGAAUGUAUCUCAUUGUAUAAAUCCCAGAAAGAUUUAUCAUAUAAAUGAUUUCUUUGCCCAAAUAGGAAAAUGUGCAUUUGGUAAAUUGAAUAUGAAAUACAAUGAAAGUUUUUGGAAUUGAUUUGUAUUUUAGAAAGCUACUAAUAAAAAUCUCGAAAAAAACUAGCCAAAAGGAAAUCUUGAGAAUAAAUGUGCAGGGAUUGAAAAUUCCAUAGUCCACCAGCAUGCUGAGUUACUUUUUAAGUAUUUAAAUUGUGUUGGGAAAUAAUAUUAAAGCAUUUGUAGCUUCAGUUUUCUAAUCUCUAAAGUUGAGGUUGAUACCACUGACCAGACCACCUUGUGAUAUUUAAAAAAUGUUUGGAGAGCAGCAAUAUAAUCUCUGGAACAGAUUGCGUCCAGUUUAAUGUGAUAAUAUUGAUAUUAAUGUUUUAAUGAUAAACCUAUUUAUAAUAUAUUGAGUAAUUGAGUUUGAGAAAUAUUUUCAACC
RNAcentral lists this long non-coding RNA (1322 nucleotides) under Equus caballus (horse). RNAcentral describes it as "lncRNA (ENSECAG00000048242.1)". The record is from RNAcentral. Lineage: Eukaryota; Metazoa; Chordata; Mammalia; Perissodactyla; Equidae.